ACUGCUUGAGCUUUAUCCAUUGAGUGCUAUUUAAGAUUCAAAAGUCUUGUGUUUUCUGUUGAUUUUAGGUUUGACAUAUUUGAUUAUUAUGUUCGUUAAAUUACGCAUUUGAUCUAUAUUAUAUUUCUUUAGCACUUAUUUAGAUCCUUGUCGUUCCUCCCAUAUUAGUUCGCGCUUCAGAUGUCCAAUCCUGAGUGUGAGAAGGUGUGUUCAAAAUAUCACAUUGACUAGAGAUAUGGUCUAUGUAACCUUUAUAUGGCUUUGAUAAUCCUCACCUUACAAAUUACAGGUUGGUUUUGUU
Molecule: long non-coding RNA, 301 nt
Filed under: Medicago truncatula (barrel medic)
Lineage: Eukaryota; Viridiplantae; Streptophyta; Magnoliopsida; Fabales; Fabaceae
Description: long non-coding RNA (MTRU_LNC001547)
Source: RNAcentral